AGGCCUGGGCGGUGUCUCCGCGGCACUUCCCGGCGGCCGGCUGCUCUGAUUGGGGGCGCUGGUAGCCGGAGGCGGGAGCAGGCCCUGGCGUUCAGCCGUCUCCGCCCCCUCCAGGUCUCAGCCGGGGACCCAGCCCCGCGAGCUGGCACUGCGGCUGUGGACAGCGGCCUGGGAGGAUUGCUCCAGAAUGAAAAUGUGGCUCUGGUGUUUGGUGGUCUGUUUGGUCCUUGGGACCCUGCAUUCCGAGGUAUCCAGAGGGAAGCUGGCACCUGUGGAUCCUGAAACAAAUAUGAAUGUGAGUGAAAUUAUCUCUCACGGGGGAUUCCCUAGUGAGGAACACCUAGUUGUGACAGAAGAUGGAUAUAUUCUUUGCCUUAACCGAAUCCCCCACGGGAGGAAGAACCAUUCUGACAGAGGUAUGGCUGUUUUCUGUGGUGAG
Long non-coding RNA from Mesoplodon densirostris (Blainville's beaked whale), 439 nucleotides. RefSeq lists it as uncharacterized. NCBI's taxonomy places the organism in Eukaryota, Metazoa, Chordata, Mammalia, Artiodactyla, Ziphiidae. The transcript is spliced from 3 exons. The record is from RefSeq and is a predicted model, not a curated record.